AGACUAACUUGGUUUGGAGAAAAUUGGGAGAUUUUAUUAACUGGUUGAAGCCAGAAAGCCCCAAGGGAAACAAGCAAUAAGAGCCCUCCCUCACUUUGCUACAACAUUACAAGCAUCUUUCAGAAGUGCAGGUCAUCAGCAAUUCAUAGAGAAGUUCUAACCACAAUCAAGCUGUAAGGACACUUGUGAGAAGCUUUUCCAUCCGAGAAACACAAACAGUUCCAUCGAUCUUACUAACACCCUAGAGGGAGCGAAGUGGGAUGAUCUGUCACUACACCUGCAGCACCACGCUCGGAGGACAGCUCCUGCUCGCAGCUUCCAGACUCAGGUAAAAAAAAAAAAAAAAAAAAAAAAAAAAAUUGUGAGCGGGCGCCGUGCAUGCAUUUCAAUACCAGAUGCGCGUCGCAACCUAGCCCCUGUAGAGGCAAUCUGCUGCUGCUGCUGCUGCUAAGUGUCCUUUGGUGGCUGGUUGCAGCUUCAAGGUUUAAGAAAUCCCAUCUUUCAGGAAGCCUGAGGGGAAGGAAGGAAGUACGGGCGAAAUCAUCAGAUUGGCUUCCCAGAUUUGGGGAUCUGAAGCGGGCCCACGUCUUCCGGCCAACUUCCAUUGAACUUCCAGCACUCGAAAGGGACCGAAAUGGAGAGCAAAGAGACCUCAUUAUGGUUGCCCCUCUCUGGGACUCUGCAAGGCAACAUGCUGGCAUGAACAUGUAACCCGCAGAGAGUAAAUCAGGGAUGAGAACCCUUCUUCAUGCUCAGGAGACCCAGGGAAG
Molecule: long non-coding RNA, 770 nt
Filed under: Canis lupus familiaris (dog)
Lineage: Eukaryota; Metazoa; Chordata; Mammalia; Carnivora; Canidae
Description: lncRNA (ENSCAFG00000051065.1)
Source: RNAcentral